RNAcentral lists this transfer RNA (60 nucleotides) under Hydrogeniiclostridium mannosilyticum. It matches the Rfam family "tRNA", at positions 8 to 63 of the family's 71-position model. From Rfam's summary of the family: Transfer RNA (tRNA) molecules are approximately 80 nucleotides in length. Lineage: Bacteria; Bacillati; Bacillota; Clostridia; Eubacteriales; Acutalibacteraceae. The record is from RNAcentral. RNAcentral also lists the same sequence under 3 other names.
AUUAGCUCAGCCGGCAGAGCACCUGACUUUUAAUCAGGGUGUCCGGGGUUCGAAUCCCCG